RNAcentral lists this ribosomal RNA (300 nucleotides) under Ehrlichia canis. RNAcentral describes it as "bacterial SSU rRNA". It matches the Rfam family "Bacterial small subunit ribosomal RNA", at positions 81 to 399 of the family's 1533-position model. The record is from RNAcentral. Lineage: Bacteria; Pseudomonadati; Pseudomonadota; Alphaproteobacteria; Rickettsiales; Anaplasmataceae.
UAGGAAAUUGUUAGUGGCAGACGGGUGAGUAAUGCGUAGGAAUCUACCUAGUAGUACGGAAUAGCCAUUAGAAAUGGUGGGUAAUACUGUAUAAUCCCCGAGGGGGAAAGAUUUAUCGCUAUUAGAUGAGCCUACGUUAGAUUAGCUAGUUGGUGAGGUAAUGGCUUACCAAGGCUAUGAUCUAUAGCUGGUCUGAGAGGACGAUCAGCCACACUGGAACUGAGAUACGGUCCAGACUCCUACGGGAGGCAGCAGUGGGGAAUAUUGGACAAUGGGCGAAAGCCUGAUCCAGCUAUGCCG